Branchiostoma floridae (Florida lancelet) is the source of this 940-nucleotide long non-coding RNA. RefSeq lists it as uncharacterized. The record is from RefSeq and is a predicted model, not a curated record. NCBI's taxonomy places the organism in Eukaryota, Metazoa, Chordata, Leptocardii, Amphioxiformes, Branchiostomatidae. The transcript has 2 exons.
UGUUCUUAUUUGCAUGAAACCCCGCCACUCGUCUGCCAGCGCCAGGUGACGGACUCAGCUCGCAGCACACAGAACAUCGCGGCCGCUUGAGACAACAGGAGCUUAUCGGUGCCAUCAUUCCCGGAUCAACUGCAGCUGCAAGGUUCAAGUUGAGUGCUUAUGUGUCUUAUGGGGUUAAAAUGGUAACAUCUUGCAGAUAUGGACUGGGACUAACUUGUCAUAGGCACGAUAGAAAGUAAAUGAAUUGAGUGUGUUUUGUUGACAUACCAAGGGAUGUUUCUGGUAGAUAUUCGGACGUGCAUUUUGUAAACGGAGGCUCUUUUUGCAGUCAAGGCCUCAGUCCGUUUUUAUUGUGUACAUGCCUGGUGUGUGGCUGAUUUUUGUUUCUGUUGGUUUCUGUGACUGUUGAUGACCGGAUUGUAUUCGGUCAGCUAUUGUGCGUAAAUUCUGUUCUUUACAAAACAGGGUCUUCCCUGGUUCACCAUCUGUUGUAAUUUCUGUUUUAUGUCAUGGUCAGUGGUUGUCGGGAACCUGGACCAUUACAUAAUCUGCUUUGUGUUGCUCUUUUGGGUCCCGAACCAAGAGAACAACACAGGCCAGAAAGGACGACAUGUGGUUGAAGAACCUAUUUGAUAUUAGUAGUAGUUAAUUCUCGGCGUAAACACAGUCACAGAAACCGAAUCAGCCAUUCAUCGGGCUUGUAUACCACAGAAACAGACUGAAGCAGCCAUAGCUUCUCGAAAUUUAAACCGAAACAAACGUCAACAUUACUUGGGAUUUCAUCAAAGCACACUCAAUCGUUACUACACAUAAAUUCAUCCCACUUUUUCCACGAUAAACCUAGAACGGAAGUUUUAAUCACAAAACAAGUUAGCUUUCUGUACUUUAACUUACGUGUAAGGUAUAUUUCCUAUAUUUUUGAGCCAAAAUAAUUCAUUUU